RNAcentral lists this ribosomal RNA (478 nucleotides) under uncultured bacterium. RNAcentral's name for it is "partial 16S ribosomal RNA". It matches the Rfam family "Bacterial small subunit ribosomal RNA", at positions 28 to 523 of the family's 1533-position model. The record is from RNAcentral.
GACGAACGCUGGCGGCGUGCUUAACACAUGCAAGUCGAACGGUAAGGCCCUUCGGGGUACACGAGUGGCGAACGGGUGAGUAACACGUGGGUGAUCUGCCCUGCACUUCGGGAUAAGACUGGGAAACUGGGUCUAAUACCGGAUAGGACUACUGGCUUCUUGGUUGGGGGUGGAAAGCGUUUGCGGUGUGGGAUGGGCCCGCGGCCUAUCAGCUUGUUGGUGGGGUAAUGGCCUACCAAGGCGACGACGGGUAGCCGGCCUGGGAGGGUGACCGGUCACACUGGGACUGAGAUACGGCCCAGACUCCUACGGGAGGCAGCAGUGGGGAAUAUUGCACAAUGGGCGCAAGCCUGAUGCAGCGACGCCGCGUGAGGGACGACGGCCUUCGGGUUGUAAACCUCUUUCAGCUAUGACGAAGCGCAAGUGACGGUAGUAGCAGAAGAAGGACCGGCCAACUACGUGCCAGCAGCCGCGGUAA